Molecule: long non-coding RNA, 1827 nt
Organism: Phragmites australis (common reed)
Lineage: Eukaryota; Viridiplantae; Streptophyta; Magnoliopsida; Poales; Poaceae
Exons: 4
Source: RefSeq, a predicted model, not a curated record
CACCUCCUCUUCCUAGUCUCCUCCGACGGCGGCAACCACCGACAGGGAGCGAAGAUGAAGAAGAUCUUCGGGGCCAAGAAUAAGGGACCGCCGCCCUCCAUCGAGGACGCCGCCGAGCGAGUCGGUCACUGGUCUCUUGUCUGCUGCUAUUGCCACUCUCCUUCUCUCGCUCGUAGUAGCAACUGCGUUGAUUCGUGGGCAAUGUGCAACCAAUCCCUCUUUUGAUGAUUUGGUCUCGAAUGCGCGACGAAUCAGUCGAUUUGAUGCAAAUUGCCGGCACAUAAACAAGCGGGCCGAGUCGGUGGACGACAAGAUCAAGAGGCUGGACGAGGAGCUGGCCAGGUACAAGGACCAGAUCCGCAAGACCCGCCCCGACCCUUCCCAGGAAGCCAUCAAUGCACGCGCCAUCCGACUUUCAAGCACAAGCGCGUGUAACUGUACUCUUUGAACCUCUCUACGCUUUGAAGCGGAUUCUGUCCCAAUUUCUCACCAGUCAUCCAUUUCUGUUACAAUCACUUCCACUUCUGUUUCUUGUCUGCUUGCUUGCUAUUCCUGCUUAAUUCUAGGGAUCAUCCAAGUUGCAAUCUCACUCAAAUACUAGUAGCAGGCAGCCAUUAUCCGUUUAUAUCGAUUUGACAUUGCCCAUUUGCCUCCGAGGUACGAGGAACAGCGCAACAUGCUUUACAAUCAAACCUAUAAUCUCGACCAAGUUGCUUUCGCUGCCGACGGCCUCAAAGACGCUCAGCAGACUAUGAAUGCAAUGAAGGCUGCAAACAAAGAGCUCAAGGGAAUGAUGAAAACGGUCAAGAUUGAGGACAUAGAUGACUAGAUGUCUAGCAUCAAAUAGGUCAGAAGCUUCAGGAUCCUUCCAUCUUUGGAGCUGAUCAUUCGAAUUGGCUAUAUCGCACUAAUGUAACCUACAUCGUGGAACCUUCAGCCUUUUAUUGUGGCUAACUUUCUGAGUGAUUUAGUAUCGACACAAUAAAUUGCCCAAUCCUACAACAUCACCCAAAUUGGGGGAUGCUUGAUGGACUGCCUUUAGUAUUUCCUGAUUUAUUUAUUUUCAAUUUGUUGCUUACUCUCCCUUCCUUUUUUUGGUGACUGAAGUGUAUUUACUCAUUCCUGCAAUUUCUAGAAUAUGCAAGAUGAAAUGACGGAUCUGAUGGACGUGAGCAAUGAGAGAUACAAGAAACUCUUGGUAGAAGCUACAACAUCCCUGAUGACGUUGAUGAAGAAGAACUGAUGGGGGGUGUGGAACCUGUAAUUUUAUCUUGGCAGUAUGAAAACUCUAUCAGCUUCGAGCUUCGAUGUUUUUUUGGUCCAUCACAAGGCAGUAUGGUUAUUCAUUAAUGGUUCUAAAUGAUAACAUAGAUUCAUGCCCUAAAUGGCCUUUCUUUUCUUCCUUGCCAUCUUGCUCUUAGACCUCUUUAUUUCUGGGUCUAGUUGGCACUGGUUAUUGCAUACUUUGUGGAGGGAAUCCUCUGUUUGCUGUCAUUAUUAUUAUUUUUCUUGAACACUGCAGAGCUGGAUGCUUUGGAGGCUGAUAUAGAGUUUGAGUCAGCUGCAGUCCCGUCAUAUCUUCAACCAGAAGCUGAUUUUGAUGCCGACCUUAACUUACCUGCUGCACCCACUCGCCCUGCAGCAGUCCCAGCAAGCUGGCAGCAGGAGGAUGAGCUAGGAUAGCCAGCGAUGCCUCGAGCAUCACUUCGCAGUUAGAAAUUUCGUUGUAUCUUGAUCUUAACUUGAUGUGCAAACUCUGUGGUUUGCGUCUGAGUCUGAACAAUCUGAUGUACCCUUUUCUCAUGGUAAUGCUUCAGUUUAUUAUAC